UACGGAGGGUGCAAGCGUUAUCCGGAUUUAUUGGGUUUAAAGGGUGCGCAGGUUGUUUGAUAAGUCAGUGGUGAAAGUCUGUCGCUUAACGGUAGGAUUGCCAUUGAUAUUGUUGGACUUGAAUAUGGAUGAGGUAGGCGGAAUGUGUAGUGUAGCGGUGAAAUGCAUAGAUAUUACACAGAACACCGAUUGCGAAGGCAGCUUACUAAUCCAUCAUUGACGCUGAGGCACGAAAGCGUGGGGUGCGAACAGGA
RNAcentral lists this ribosomal RNA (254 nucleotides) under uncultured prokaryote. RNAcentral's name for it is "partial 16S ribosomal RNA". It matches the Rfam family "Bacterial small subunit ribosomal RNA", at positions 524 to 777 of the family's 1533-position model. The record is from RNAcentral.